AGAAGAAUGGAGCUGUGGGAGUCAAACAGGGGUCUGUUAUGAUUUCCAGGGCUGAGGGGCCCAGGAAGGGCUUCUUCCAGGGGCUACGCAGAGAAUCAGAGCUCCUCUUAUAGAACACAGAUGCUCCAUUGGAAGGAAGCAGUUCCGAUCAAAAGUUGGGCAGCAUCCAGGGUCAUGAACUUAGAUCCUAAAAUAUCUGUGACCAGACCAGCCGGCAAGGAUUUCCUGCCGACCCAGAAGCUGAAAGGAUUCUAUGUUGGCACACACAGAACCACACUGCUGCUCACACCGCACGUGUCUAGCAGAGCUUCCAGGCUUUCAAACAGACAAAAUAACAGCAAAGACAUCAGAAUUAUGGCUGAAGGCGAAUCUGAGAAGAGUCGGGGCUCAGGCUGGAGAUGCAAUAGCCAGGAUUGCAAGAUAAACAACAACUUGAGAUUAUCGGUAAUAACACGGCUGGCCUAGUGAGCCCAGACAGGCAUCAGGUGGGUGAUCAGAACGUGGAGACCCAUAUCCCCUCCCUUCCCCAAAAUGCCUUUGUUCUGUCCUGUACCCUGGCUACAUGACUUGUUUCCCUAUUGGAUCAAUAUUAGCUAAGCAGCUAUGCUUGUAACCCUAUAGGUUGAUUGUCUCCCAUGUUGUACCCACACUGUGAUAUUGCUGUGUAAAUUGCCCCUGACAAAGGGUCUGGGCGGCUACUUAUUC
This 705-nucleotide long non-coding RNA is filed under the name Chinchilla lanigera (long-tailed chinchilla). RNAcentral's name for it is "lncRNA (ENSCLAG00000026101.1)". Lineage: Eukaryota; Metazoa; Chordata; Mammalia; Rodentia; Chinchillidae. The record is from RNAcentral.